Molecule: ribosomal RNA, 445 nt
Filed under: uncultured bacterium
Lineage: Bacteria
Description: bacterial SSU rRNA
Rfam family: Bacterial small subunit ribosomal RNA
Source: RNAcentral
GCCAGACUCCUACGGGAGGCAGCAGUGGGGAAUAUUGCACAAUGGGGGAAACCCUGAUGCAGCAACGCCGCGUGGGUGAAGGAGCGUUUCGGCGCGUAAAGCCCUGUCAGCGGGGAAGAAGAAAGACGGUACCCGACCAAGAAGCCCCGGCUAACUACGUGCCAGCAGCCGCGGUAAUACGUAGGGGGCGAGCGUUAUCCGGAAUUAUUGGGCGUAAAGGGUGCGUAGAUGGCAUAGUAAGUCUUUUGUAAAAAUGCUGGGCUCAACCCAGUAGGGCAAAAGAUACUGCAAAGCUAGAGUAUGACAGAGGCAAGUGGAACUACAUGUGUAGCGGUAAAAUGCGUAAAUAUAUGUAAGAACACCAGUGGCGAAGGCGGCUUGCUGGGUCGAUACUGACAUUGAGGCACGAAAGCGUGGGGAGCAAACAGGAUUAGAUACCCCUGUA